GGGCGUAAAGUUCGUUGCCAUAGACCCGAAACCGGGUGACCUAUCCAUGAGCAGGUUGAAGCAAGGGUAAAGCCUUGUGGAGGACCGAACCGUCAACGGCUGAAAACGUUCCGGAUGACUUGUGGAUAGGGGUGAAAGGUCAAUCAAACCCGGUGAUAGCUGGUUCUCCCCGAAAUAUAUUGAGGUAUAGCCUCGGGAAUUGAUUAGCGGAGGUAAAGCACUGACAGAGCUAGGGGUCCUACCAGAUUACCAAACUCUAUCAAACUCAGAAUGCCGCUUAAUUGUAUCCCGGGAGUCAGACGGCGGGUGCGAAGGUUCGUCGUCAAAAGGGAAACAGCCCAGACCAACAGCUAAGGUCUCCAAAUCCAUGCUCAGUGGUGAAGGUAGUGGAACCGUUUAGACAGCCAGGACGUUGGCUUAGAAGCAGCCAUCAUUUAAAGAAAGCGUAAUAGCUCACUGGUCUAAUGGCUCUGCGCCGAAAAUGUAACGGGGCUAAGCAUGGUACCGAAGCUUUGGCAAUCCCCUUUGGGGAUUGGGUAGGGGAGCGUUCGCUGCGGGCUGAAGGUGUGCCGGAAGACAUGCUGGACUGCAGUGAAGUGAUUAUGCUGACAUGAGUAACGAUAAAAUAUGUGAAAAACAUAUUCGCCGAAAACCCGAGGUUUCCUGGGUAAAGGUAAUCUUCCCAGGGUUAGUCGGAUCCUAAGGUGAGGGUGAAAGCCGUAACCGAUGGAAAACAGGUUAAUAUUCCUGUACUUGUUGUGUAGCGCGAUGGAGGGACGCAGGAAGAUAGGCGGGCCGGGUGUUGGAUAUCCCGGUGCAAGCGUGUAGGAAUAUCCGGUAGGCAAAUCCGCCGGACGAAUCUGAGACGCGAGUCCGUGGGCGCAAGCCCUGAAGCCGUUGAGUCUAUGCUGCCUAGAAAAGCUCCUAAGUUUAUCCACAGCAAUCCGUACCGCAAACCAACUCAGGUGGGUGGGAUGAACAAUCCAAGGCGCUCGAGAGAACUCUGGCCAAGGAACUCGGCAAAAUAACCCCGUAACUUCGGAAGAAGGGGUGCUCUCUAGGGUGACAUGUUUAACAUAUGAAGCCCCGGGGAGCCGCAGUGAAUUGGUGGUGGCGACUGUUUACUAAAAACAUAGGUCUGUGCGAAGUCCUAAAGACGACGUAUACGGACUGACGCCUGCCCGGUGCUGGAAGGUUAAAAGGAGGGGUCAGCGCAAGCAAAGCUCCGAAUUGAAGCCCCAGUAAACGGCGGCCAUAACUAUAACGGUCCUAAGGUAGCGAAAUUCCUUGUCGGGUAAGUUCCGACCUGCACGAAUGGUGUAAUGAUCUGGA
This 1332-nucleotide ribosomal RNA is filed under the name human gut metagenome. RNAcentral's name for it is "bacterial LSU rRNA". It matches the Rfam family "Bacterial large subunit ribosomal RNA", at positions 690 to 2013 of the family's 2925-position model. The record is from RNAcentral.